Molecule: unclassified non-coding RNA, 27 nt
Filed under: Mus musculus (house mouse)
Lineage: Eukaryota; Metazoa; Chordata; Mammalia; Rodentia; Muridae
Description: oocyte_clustered_small_RNA692
Source: RNAcentral
UGGCUCAAGGAGUUAUUUGCAUCUUCU